Culex quinquefasciatus (southern house mosquito) is the source of this 2731-nucleotide RNA transcript. It is a transcript of the gene named metal regulatory transcription factor 1, with no coding region annotated. NCBI's taxonomy places the organism in Eukaryota, Metazoa, Arthropoda, Insecta, Diptera, Culicidae. The record is from RefSeq and is a predicted model, not a curated record. The transcript is spliced from 7 exons.
ACGAGAACGUCCAAAACCUCCUCCUUCUGCUCCUGUUUCAGCAGCACGAACCAUCACAACAUCCAGCCAGUGAGUGAGUGGGCGAGUGUCAUUCGUGCGGUCAUUGUGGAAAGGUGAAAAUAUGGCGAUAUUCGUGCACGGACAGUGAAAAUUUUCCAAACCCCGUCGCGUGAAGAAAAAAAAAGAGAAAGGUUCCGCCACCAUGAGCUAUCUGAUAACGCUGCAGGACUGCAUCAACGACAGUACGACGACGUUCGACAUCGAUGCGUUCGACGUGAUCCAGCAACAGGUCCCGCAGUACCUGGACGGUGAUGGGGAGGAGGGGGACGAGGAGGAAAAACCUUCCCAUUUUGGUUGCGCCCAGCUGCUGGACCAAAGUGGAGGAGCGCCUGGUGCUUCAGCUGGUGAGACCAAACUGAAGGUGGUCCAAGUCGACGAAAGUGGUUCCGGCAAAAAGUCCAGCAGCAAAAACAGUGAAAAUAGUAUUCUGGUUAAAUUUGAGAGUGUUGAAGAACAGGAUGACGGAGGUAAUUAUGAAAACAAUACUCUAAACGAAGAAGGAGAGCCAUCGCAUGCUACUAUCACAAUCGAGGGAUCUGACGGGCAAGUGUUGGGCCGAUAUCGGUGCAACUACGAGAGAUGCGACCGGAGUUACAGCACAGUUGGCAACCUGCGAACCCACAUGAAGACUCACCGGGGUGAGUACAAGUUCAAGUGUACGGAGGAUGGCUGCAGCAAGGCCUUUCUCACCUCGUACAGCCAGAAGAUCCACGUCCGUGUUCACACCAAAAUCAAGCCAUUCGUCUGUGCGGACAGUUCGUGCCGGAAGGCGUUCAACACGCGCUACCGGCUGCGGGCCCACGAGCGGCUGCACAACGGGGAAACGUUUAAUUGUGAGGUUUGUUCCAAGUUUUUCACCACGUUGAGCGAUCUCAAGAAGCACUCGCGAGUUCACACGCAGGAGAGGCCGUACAAAUGCAAGGAGGACAAGUGCGGCAAGGCGUUCACCGCGUCGCACCACCUGAAAACUCACAUUCGGACACACUCGGGCGAGCGUCCAUUUUCCUGCGCCAUCGACGAUUGCCACAAGGCGUUCAGCACGCCACACAGCCUCAAAUCGCACACCAAAACCCACGAGCGGAAGAAAUCGUCCAAAUCAACGAACAAACAGCGCAAGGCCAAGGUGGUGGAUGAGCUCUCGGAACCGACCGUCAAGGAGGAGUACAAACUCAGCUGUAGCGAUGGCCAGUCCGACGGGGAUGAGUUGGUGGAUGAAUCGCCGCAGGUCAGCCAACCGGAAGCGGCGUUCAACCUGGUGGACUUUCACGAGUCUAAAGCUCUGGAGAUGGCGUUGGCUUCCGAGGAAGAGUUUAACGCUCCGUGGGUGGACAUUUCGGUGCUGGGGACGAAACCGUUGGCUUUGGAUCCGGUGACGUCUUCUUGUGUGGCGUUGCCGACCAGCGUUCCGUCGUAUGUGGAUUUGCCGUUUAAUGUGAACGUGGCGGACUUUGUCGAGGAGGUUGACCCUGUGGCCAGUGCCGGUGAGGAGCUUUUCCUCGAUAGCUACGACUACGACGAGAAUCUGAUGGAGGAAAAUGCCCGCAAGGAGAUCGACGAGGCGAUUCAGAUCAGCGAGCAGAACGUGGCCAAGCAGGAACAGCAGGACACGGACAACAUCCUGAACGAGUUGUUCAUGGAGGGACUGCUGCCGGCGGCGACGACGAUCACCACGGAAGUCCAGCAGCAGGACGGCAACAACAACAACGUCAGCGUAUUCACGGAACCCCCUAUCAAGACCACCCUCAAGGACAUUACGGCAGACGCGGACAUUUGCCGCUGCGUCAACUGCCAGUGCGAUCCAAACCACGGUUGCGUCGGCGGCUGUGGACCGGAGAACCCAUGCCGUCCGAACCAUCACCACGAACCACCACCCACCACCUUCCCAAAUCUCUUCCACCAAAGCAAUCAGUCCGUACCAGCGCCACCUCCACCAGCAGCUAAAUCCGGUUGUUGCGGCGGAGCAACAACUAAAAAGCCCCCGGAACCGUCCUCCCCGCUGGAUCUGUUCACGAACCUGCUGCGACAGCAGGGCUGCAGCUGCAGUGGUCCCACCGAGGGUGUCGCCAAGGGAUGCUGCGUCGUGAUCUGCCUGAAGACGCUGGAAACGCUCAAGCAGGUGCUGACGCAGCAGCCGAAUCUGGUUCGGUGUCAUAGCGGCGGCGUCGGCAGUGCCAUAGCCAAUUAGCGAGACCAAAACCCGAAACACGUGUGUGCCAUUACGAGCGUGAUGCUAAUCGCAGAAAGAUCCAGUCAGUUUUGUUUUUAGGUUAACUUUUUAAGUAUACUACUGUAAGAAACGAGCAAUUUUGCCUGGCAUAGCCAGGUGAAUAUUGAAGUGGAGAGGGAAAAGAAAUGUUACUAAAUAGGGUUAUUUAUUUUGUUUGCGAGAAAAGCUUCAUCAAUCGUGUGUGCGUUUCGUGCAUUUUGUUCGCCAAAAUUAAGUCACGUGAGUGCAACUGUGAGCAGCAAGAUUUGAAAAAUAAAUAUGUUUUCGUUAUUAACUUUCAAACUAACCCAAGUUGAGCUCGGAACGAGCCAUUUUCCGAACAAACUUUAGCCUUUCUACGCUUCAAUGUGUGAUGAUUUUGAUAGCUUUUUUUAGGAUGAGUAAGAGAAAUAAAAACUAUCGCAAUAAAAGCAUUAUAACUAGCUGUUGACUCAAAGCCAAAAA